UAAGGGUUCGCCUCCGGAGAGGGAGCCUUAGAAACGGCAGCCACAUCCAAGGAAGGCAGCAGGCGCGAAACUUAUCCAAUCUUGAAUAGAUGAGAUAGUGACUAAAAAUAAAAAGACCAUUCCUAUGGAACGGUUAUUUCAAUGAGUUGAUCAUAAACCUUUUUUCGAGGAUCAAGUGGAGGGCAAGUCUGGUGCCAGCAGCCGCGGUAAUUCCAGCUCCACUAGUGUAAAUCGUCAUUGCUGCGGUUAAAAAGCUCGUAGUUGGAUCUGAGUCGCAUGCAAUGGUUCGCCUUUGGCGUUAAUCAUUGUUGUGACUAUUUGCUGGUCUUCUAUUGAAAUUUCGAUUUCUUUAGUGGCGAGCGAGUUCACUUUGAAUAAAUUAGAGCGCUCAGAACAAGCG
This 400-nucleotide ribosomal RNA is filed under the name Nematoda sp. NEAQ_12_180. RNAcentral's name for it is "SSU rRNA". It matches the Rfam family "Eukaryotic small subunit ribosomal RNA", at positions 370 to 786 of the family's 1831-position model. Lineage: Eukaryota; Metazoa; Nematoda. The record is from RNAcentral.